RNAcentral lists this ribosomal RNA (431 nucleotides) under uncultured bacterium. Its description in RNAcentral is "bacterial SSU rRNA". It matches the Rfam family "Bacterial small subunit ribosomal RNA", at positions 85 to 547 of the family's 1533-position model. The record is from RNAcentral.
AGAUAGUAAGGUGGCGGACGGGUGAGUAACACGUAAAGACUUGCCCUGCAGUCUGGGACAACUAUUGGAAACGAUAGCUAAUACCGGAUAUUGCCGCAUGGCGAAAGCUAUAUGCGCUGUAGGAGAGCUUUGCGUCCCAUUAGUUAGUUGGUGAGGUAACGGCUCACCAAGACCGCGAUGGGUAGCCGGCCUGAGAGGGUGAACGGCCACAAGGGGACUGAGACACGGCCCUUACUCCUACGGGAGGCAGCAGUGGGGAAUAUUGGACAAUGGACCAAAGUCUGAUCCAGCAAUUCUGUGUGCACGAUGACGGUCUUAGGAUUGUAAAGUGCUUUCAAUCGGGAAAAAGAAAGUGAUGGUACCGAUAGAAGAAGCGACGGCUAAAUACGUGCCAGCAGCCGCGGUAAUACGUAUGUCGCAAGCGUUAUCCG